GACGAACGCUGGCGGCGUGCUUAACACAUGCAAGUCGAACGGUGAAGCGCCUUCCUUUUUGGUGGGUGUGGAUGAGUGGCGAACGGGUGAGUAACACGUGAGUAACCUGCCCCCUUCUUCUGGACAACCGCAUGAAAGUGUGGCUAAUACGGGAUAUUCUGGGUCUGUCGCAUGAUGGGUCUGGGAAAGAUAUUGUUUCGGUGGGGGAUGGGCUCGCGGCCUAUCAGCUUGUUGGUGGGGUGAUGGCCUACCAAGGCGGUGACGGGUAGCCGGCCUGAGAGGGGUGGGGGGCACACAGGGAGAGGGAGACGGCCCAGACUCACACGGGGGGGAGGGGGGGGGGAGAUAGCGGAAGGGGGGGGAGACCGGGGCCGAGCGGCCGCGGGAGGGAUGGGGGGUCUUUGGGGUUGAGCCCCUUUCGCGCGUGAAGAAGGGGCGCCUCUUUUGUGGGGGUGUGGAGGGGGGAUGGAGAAGAAGGGCCGGGGAAAUACAC
RNAcentral lists this ribosomal RNA (493 nucleotides) under uncultured bacterium. RNAcentral's name for it is "partial 16S ribosomal RNA". The stretch from base 20 to 341 matches the Rfam family "Bacterial small subunit ribosomal RNA", at positions 47 to 358 of the family's 1533-position model. The record is from RNAcentral.